GUAACGAUACUUUCAGGCUCCCGCUCUUCCUCGAGCCUCCUCGGCGAUCUCCGCCGCCCCUUUCGCCGGCCUACUUCGGCGGCGCUUAAGCUUGCACGCCUCACUCAGAUUAUCGGGGUCACUCUAUUUUUCUGAGCCUCGUCUCUCUCUAGCCGCCACCGGCUGCAGAUCUGGCCACGCCGCUCCGACACUUCCGUUUCUCCCUUGGGACGUGAAGAGGCAAAUUUUGUGCUGCAAAAAAGGAUUCCUGAAGUCAUUGCAUCACCUAUCACUGGUGGUCAUACCAAGUGCCUUGAGUGGACUAGGGACAGCACUAGGGAGAACUUAGAAGUGAUGGGAACCAGAUUAUGAGACGGUACACAAGCAAACAACAAAUGAUUAAACCAACUCAGCCAUGAUCACUUGUCUGAAUGGAUUUAAUGAAUCACUUUCAUGCAUUCUCUGAUGUGGAUUUAACAGCAAAUAGAAAGGUAUAUGGAUCAAAUCCUCACUAAGCCAUUUGGCAGUAACAUCAUCUAUCACACUAUGGCAUAAGGGAUGAAGCCGUGAAGAGAAAUGCUGUCUCUUCCAUCCAUUUGAUGUUUCCUAUUUACCUUUCCAGAAACUGGCUUGCGGUCUCUUACUAUAAUAUUUUGAGAACUACCAGUUAAAUCACUUUGUAACACAGAAUUCAGAAAGCUGAAACAUUUGAUCUACAAGUGUAGCAAAUAAAUAAAUCAUACAAAUUGAAUUCAGUAGUAAUUAAGAAAAAAGAAAUAGUAACAUUUUGGUAGAGCAUAGUCCAUAACUACUAAACAUGUGAUUGAAGACCUCACAUGCAGUACACAAAAAUACAUAGCAGGUAUAUAUGAUUCAGCGUCUAACUACAUUACUUAAUGCUUAGAAAAGUAAUUCAACAACAAACUAAGAUCUAAAGUUCUGAACUAUGUUUAUUGAAGGAAAAAAGGAAACCUCAAAUGAAGAAUAUUAGUUCAGUCA
Molecule: long non-coding RNA, 978 nt
Organism: Zingiber officinale
Lineage: Eukaryota; Viridiplantae; Streptophyta; Magnoliopsida; Zingiberales; Zingiberaceae
Exons: 5
Source: RefSeq, a predicted model, not a curated record